Molecule: ribosomal RNA, 468 nt
Filed under: uncultured bacterium
Lineage: Bacteria
Description: partial 16S ribosomal RNA
Rfam family: Bacterial small subunit ribosomal RNA
Source: RNAcentral
GACGAACGCUGGCGGCGUGCUUAACACAUGCAAGUCGAACGGAAAGGCCCUGCUUUUGUGGGGUGCUCGAGUGGCGAACGGGUGAGUAACACGUGAGUAACCUGCCCUUGACUUUGGGAUAACUUCAGGAAACUGGGGCUAAUACCUGAUAGGAGCUCCUGCUGCAUGGUGGGGGUUGGAAAGUUUGGGCGGUUGGGGAUGGACUCGCGGGUUAUCAGCUUGUUGGUGGGGUAGUGGCCUACCAAGGGUUUGAUGGGUAGCCGGCCUGGGAGGGUGACCGGCCACAUUGGGACUGAGAUACGGCCCAGACUCCUACGGGAGGCAGCAGUGGGGAAUAUUGCACAAUGGGCGGAAGCCUGAUGCAGCAACGCCGCGUGCGGGAUGACGGCCUUCGGGUUGUAAACCGCUUUCGCCUGUGACGAAGCGUGAGUGACGGUAAUGGGUAAAGAAGCACCGGCUAACUACGUG